Molecule: long non-coding RNA, 829 nt
Organism: Monodelphis domestica (gray short-tailed opossum)
Lineage: Eukaryota; Metazoa; Chordata; Mammalia; Didelphimorphia; Didelphidae
Source: RefSeq, a predicted model, not a curated record
AUGCAAUGACCAAUCAGGACUCCCGAGCACCGGGAUCACGGAAAGCACGCUUCCCCACUUCCGGCAGAGAAAUGCUAGGCAGGAAACGCAGAAUGAGACCUGUGUAGUCCGACAUAAUCGAGAUACGGAUUUAUUUUGAUUCACUGGGGUAAAAGCACUCAUGGGAUCCACCCCCAUGCCAUGGCAACCUCAGCAACCAUCCCAGCCUGAAGCCCUGGACAAUUGCUUACAGUCAAUACCUCUCUCCUAAUGUUAUGCAGGGACAACUAUACGUCCAUUCUCAGCUCUGAAGAAGUUACAGAAUACUGAGACCAUCACCCAUUUUCCCUUACAUAUUAGGAGAGGGGGGAGAUGACACGGACACUGUACCCCCAGAAACUCAGGCGAACUAUUAUCAGGUAAACCCCCUUGCUCCCUUACAUCCUCGUGACUCUGAGCCUAAAAACAUCCAAUGACUCCUCUAGGGUCCUGAGAUGAUUAUCCUCCUUUGAUCGUCCUCUAGAUUUAAGAUGGACAGAAAGAGGCACCUCCAGGCUACACCUCAAUCCUAUCAGGCCACAUCUCAGACAUUUGUUUGUUCCCUAAAACUAAGGAAUCUUUAUGUCUCCAGGCAGAUGAUCACCCCACCUCGACAAAUGCCCGGGUGACUAACACUCUCUGUUGUAAAAAGUAUAAAAUCCCCAGAACUGAUGUCGUCGGGGGGAACAGCCUUUCCAUUCAUGCUGUCCUCCCAAAGAACUGCUCCCCAUCUUGCUGUUCCACCUUGCUAUCCUCCUGGCCAUUCUCAACAUUACUUCCUAUAUUAAUAAAUUUCUCUUUUUGUUUUUAA